This 636-nucleotide ribosomal RNA is filed under the name uncultured bacterium. Its description in RNAcentral is "bacterial LSU rRNA". It matches the Rfam family "Bacterial large subunit ribosomal RNA", at positions 497 to 1119 of the family's 2925-position model. The record is from RNAcentral.
AGUACCGUGAGGGAAAGGUGAAAAGCACCCCGACGAGGGGAGUGAAAUAGACCUGAAACCGGACACUUACAAACAGACGGAGCCCAAGAUUUGUUCUGGGUGACGUCGUACCUUUUGUAUUAUGGGCCAGCGACUUAAUUUAACCGAGCAAGCUUAAGCCGAUAGGGCGUAGGCGUAGCGAAAAGCGAGUUCUGAAAUAGGGCGCCCUAGUUGCUGGGUGUAGACCCGAAACCAGUUGAUCUAUCCAUGGGCCAGGUUGAAGGUGCGGUAACACGUACUGGAGGGACCGAACCCCACUAACCGUUGAAAAGUUAGGGGAUGAGCUGUGGAUAGGGGUGAAAAGGCUAAACAAAACUGGAAAUAGCUGGUUCUCUCCGAAAACUAUUUAGGUAGUGCCUCGUGUAUCACUGUAGGGGGUAGAGCACUGUCAUGGUAGUGGGGUCCAUUGCGGAUUACUGCGCCAUAGCAAACUCCGAAUACCUACAAGUGCAAGCACGGGAGACAGACAUCGGGUGCUAACGUCCGGUGUCAAGAGGGAAACAACCCAGACCGCCAGCUAAGGUCCCUAAUAUAUGCUANGUGGGAAACGAAGUGGGAAGGCUAAAACAGUCAGGAGGUUGGCUUAGAAGCAGCCAU